RNAcentral lists this long non-coding RNA (264 nucleotides) under Gossypium raimondii (Peruvian cotton). RNAcentral's name for it is "long non-coding RNA (GRAI_LNC001980)". Lineage: Eukaryota; Viridiplantae; Streptophyta; Magnoliopsida; Malvales; Malvaceae. The record is from RNAcentral.
UGAGAAGUAAAAGUUUAGGGGAAAAAUAAAAAAGUUUUGGGAAUAAAAGUUUGAGGGAAAGUAAAUAGGGGGAGUAAAAUUUUGGAGGGAAAAUAUUAAAAAAAAAUUGGAGGGGGGAGGGUUUGGGAUAGAUGAGAGGUGAGAUGGGAAGGGAAUAAAAGUUUUAGGGGAAAAGUGGGAGGGAGUAAAAAUUUUGGGGGAAAAUAAAAUGUUUUGAGGGUUUUUGGGAGUAAAAUUUUGAGAAAAAUAAAUGGGAGAGUAAAA